CCCCGUCUCCCCAGGCCCCAGCCCCCACCGGACAAACCCUAGUCUCACCAAGCCCCACAUCUCGCGCUCCUCCCUCCUCCAUUCUCGUUAGUCGCCGCCGCUGCCGUUGUGCCUCCCUCCUCUCUCCCCUACAACCACGUCCCCGGGAGGAAGCCGCCGUUCGUGGCGCCAUGCCGCUGCCGGGGUGUUGCGCACGUUUCGUUCCCCACAGCCCCUCCCUCAUCCUCGCUCAUCACCGCCGCUGCCUGCUACUCCCGGGGCGGCCGAGCGCCAACGGUGCGGCAAUGGCUGUUCCAGCAGGCGAGGGCGAGGGCGCAUGCGUUAGGCGUUGGGUGCGUGGACAAGGAGGGAGGAGUCAACUUGAGGGAGGAGAUGAGAGAGGUGAGGGUUGGCAGCGAUUGCAGGGAGAGGAGGAGUCUGGAGGCAACAGACGAUUUUUUAGGGUGGUCGGCGACCUACAGCCUACAGGGAACGUCCGUAGCAGCAGCAGGCGACCUGCAGCAGCUCCUUCCUACCUUCCAUGGACGAGCUCUUCGGAGACGCCGUCUAGCCCGACCACGGCAACGACUACCCCACGCACAAGAGGAAGGUUGAUUCAUUUGUAAAAUUCAUUCCACCGAAGCCAUCUGCUCCGUCCACCAACCCGCCCAGAAAGGUAGUUACAGUGAAUUGAUGUUCGCACUGAGGCCGGAGGCGAGAGUUGAGGGCACGGAGGUCGGUGGCAAGUGCUCAGGAGAGAAGAGGAAGGCGGCGGCGCUGGGCGGUGGCUGCGGUUUACACGAGAGGGAGGUGACCUGCCCAGAAAGCUCUGGGAUGAUUUCUUCCAUGUUUAUGGAGGGGGAGGACGCCAACUACUAGGAGAAGGAUCAGUUUAGCAAGUACAUGAUGUAAUUCUCUUAUGAUUAUGGAUUGCUGAGAAGCGCAACCUUUUGAUCUUCGAGAACCGCAAGUUUGCUGACAUUGAAAAUACAUUCAUUAUGCAAGACGAAUGGUGAGAAAUGUGUUAUUCCCUAUCCUUCCAUUCUAUUUGCAUAUUCGCGCAGUAUGCUUAGUUUUUUUCCUUUCAAGAUGAAUAUUCUACACAUGAGAGCAAUAUACUUGGUAUUAUUGAUGCUCAUAUAAUUCCUGGACCUGGAAUUGUUGAUGGCUUGAGGCUUAAAGUAUGUUAUGUGUUGCAUACCUAAUAAAUAUUAGAAAGCUAAUGUUGCAGCUUGACAGAUGCUGUGAUAACUUCUCCUUUUUUUGUUUGUUAAUAUCCACUUCGAACUGAGCAGCCAUGAUCCGGAUUUCCUCUAUGUAGCUAUGAGAUGCAUGUCGUUCGUUAUUGUGUAUCGUUUGCUAAAAUAUUGAUUAUUUGACAAUGAACACAUGGCAAUGCCUUAACUAUUCAACUUGCCUAGCUCAGAAUUUUAACCAAUAGAGAAGUUUUUUUGUUGCUUACCCUUUUGUUAGAUAUUUUGCUUUUUGUAUGUUGAGGGGAGAUGGAUAUGGCCUCAGGACUAAACGCACAGACCACAUGAAGUGAUCUGAUGGAAGGUAAAGUAUUUUUUAUUGGCAAUGCUAAUGUCUGGACCAUCUCAAUGGUUUUAACUCUAUGAUGUUCAGUUUAGCAUAUCACAUGUACAAAUGCAUAUAUACAAAUUGUGGUAGGCAACUCACUAUUUAGACGACGCGAGUAUUCUAUUGAUAAGGAGUCCCACCAUACUCAUGUGAGAGUUAGGCGUGGUAGUGGGUAGUAUUUUCUCAUCAUCCAUUAUGUGUUUCUUCUGUCUAGCUCGAAGUUGCUUAGUUAGAUAAUGAUUCGCAAAUUCCAGCAUUGCAUGUUGCCUGACACUUUUGCAUUAGCAUUGAAUUGCAGCCUGCAUUUUUGUAGCCCGCGAGGCGUGUAAAUGUUGGACUAUUGUUUCUCCGCUGAUGCACAUGUUUCGCCACAGAGACAGUACUCUGUGUGUGUGUGAUCUCUGGAAUGAGUUUUUAUGUUUCUCUGUGUUGAGUACUUUUGUAAUCUCCACGGGUGUGUUUCGUAUUUUCUAUGUAUCCUCUGUCAUUCUUUUAAGUGAUUAAUGUUUUCUUUUGUAGUUUUUGAUAUUUAGGUGCAGUCACGUUUCAUUUGUCACAGACCUGUACCCGUUAGGAAAAUCAUAGUUUCAUUUUGAUCAUGUUUCUUUAAGUUGUUCAGUGUUUGUUCAUUAUGUAGUAGAGUAAGAAGUACAUUUUGUCCAUCAGUUAAAUCACUCAUGUCACAUUCAGUUUAUUGAUUUGGUUUAGUUUUUGUUCCUUUCUCUUCGUUCCUUCAGUUUUUUGUUCCUUUAUUUAGUCAUUGUGCUUGCAUCAUUUGCCAGUAUUUUAGUCCAUCUCAAUAGACCCCUAUGAUUCUUGAUAGUUUAUCUCUUUCAUAGAUCAGACUUUUCCACUUUGUUAGUUAGUCUAAUUUAUGCUUUUUUCAAUUUUUAGUCUUUACAUGAUUUAGUUGGACAGUGUGUUUGGUAUUUCAAUAGUUCAGUAGUUUCAUACUUUCAUUUAAUUAAAUAGUCUUGUUUUUAGUCUCAGUACUUCAGGUUUAGUUUCCAAACAAGUACUUUUUUACUCAUGUGGUUUUCGGUCUUUUGACUAUAUGUGGUUUUCAAUCUUUUCAUCUCUUGGUUUACUUGUCAUUCUUAAUUUAUCCGCCUUACUAUUCUCAGUCUUGUUUUUUAUUGAGAGACACAACCUUUUCAAUACACUUCUAUUUUAAUUUUUCAUAACAACGGCUGUUUUUUUGUUUCAACUUUGACUCUAUGCUAUUAAAGUAAACCGAGUAUAUUAAAAUAAACCAACUAUAUUCAUAUAUGCCUCAGUAAUUGGUACAACCGAUUUUUAUUGAGAGAGACAACAUUUCAAAACACUUCUAUCUUCAUUUUUCAUACCAACGAAUAUUUUUGUGCUAACAUGUGAGUUGAUUAUUUGGAAAAAAUAUAAUCAUAUAUGUAUUGCCAACAAUUUUUAUGUUUAAAACAACCAAUUUUGUGAAAAGAGUGGAGAGAAAGAUACAUGUGCAAUUUCUUGAUGUUACAGCGGAUGGAUACUCGAUCUUUAAACAUAAGCACAGAUGAAUAGGUACAAAUUCGAGGAAAGGCCAAUGAAAUAGUUGUCUGUACACAUAUGUGCCAGUUUUAUACCUGGUUGUCUGGUUGCAUUAUUUGUCUGGUUUCAAUUCAGUUUGAGUAGAUUGUUAUCUGUGAGCGAUACUUGCUACUAUUUGCACCCAUGCACCAAUUUGCAUACCUAUUUUAGGCACAGAAACCAACCAUGACUGAAAAUCAUGUAUAUAUAAUUUACUAUGAUUCAUGGUGAGAAAAUCAUGAUUUAAUAAACGAAAGGUGGUUUGUUUUGCUAACAGUACUGAGUAUAAAUGUAAAUCGCAGAUCGUACGCUGCUGCUACGGGCUCCAUGUUGUUUAUGCUAGACAACACAACGGUGCUUGUGUUAUCUAUAGUUGAAGUCGCAAUUUAAUAUUCUUUGAUUUAUGCUUGUGUUAUAUGUGGUUGAAGGGACAUCCUUGUUAGUUUGCAUGGUCUAUGUAAGAAGGGGCAGUACAAUGCUUGUCAAGUUUGUUUAUAUUCUGAUGGCUGUUGAAUUCUGGACAAUGGAGACGUGAAUUUGUUACAUACAUAGGUACUAGGCAUAGGAUACUUUACACAUUGAUGACAUGUAGUUUUAGAGAACUUCUGAAAAUUCCAAUUCAGGUUUUCUGUGUUCCAUUCAGGAAGAACACAUAGUCUGCACUGGGGUAUAAAAUUAUCUACUACUUACCUUUGUGUCUCGACAUAUGCUUGUGAUGCAUCGUGCUGCCAGAGGCCAACAUUAUCCAGUAUCAUAGUGAUGCUAAAAAUGCCUAUUGGUUACUCCGCAUAUUCUCAUCUGAUUUCUCAUAUAUAGAUAUUAAUUUCCUUUCAUGGGAGGCCUUCAUUACAUUUCAGCGGCGGUUGCGGAUGUGAUUGGCGGUUGAGGGAGGGUCUCCGACUAGAGCAGCAGGAGCAAGGUGCUCGAGGAAGUUUAGAUUUGCCUCUACAUCCUCUCUCUUUCCUCCACUUUGUUCUUGCAUUUAGAUGAUACAAUUUGUGAUCAUGUGUAUGUGCAUUUAUGAGAUCUUUGCUGCUAGGCACAGAGUUUAUGGUUACUGAAAUUGGGUAAUAGAACAUGGUUGUUGUGCCUUUUUCCCUUGUUCUUUUGAAAUGCAACAUGACAGUAGCCAAUGUCAUGUAUCAGGGUUGUAAACCUAUUAGAUUUGGGAUAGAGGAAAGUAUGAAGAUCUUCUUAUUAUUGCAAAGUAAAAGUUGAUAUUAGUGCAAACUUAGGUGAUCUGGUCCGAAGGGGUAUCUCAGCUUUAUGAGUUGAUAGUAUAUUUGCAUCUAAGAAUAAACCUUAGCUUUUAGAUAGAAUUUAUGAGUGAAAGUAUUCUGGUGUAUACCAUCCUUUGUGCAGGAUUGUCAUGGUUAUUGUGUAUGUCAAUUUUGUUGACAAAAUAGAUCCAAAUGAUAUCUUUUUCGGUGUCUUAUGGUAGAUAUAUUUGGUCCGCUGUUUCAUGCAUCCUUCGGGUUUAUGAUUAAUAUUCCCAGAUAUUUGAACAAAAUUUAGCUAUUAAAUAUACAUCCCAGGAAAUUUACAUUAUUACAGUGGGGCACUCCUUUGCACGGUUUUCAGAAUAAGAGAUUUAACCUGUUUUGCAGUAUCAUUCUCCCUGACGGAUUACAUGUAAGUUGUUGUUCUAAUUACAAGCAAGCUUUCAGCUCAUGGUUGUUAUAUUUUUGUAUUUUCCAUAGGACAAUUUUCUGGAUUAAUAUCUAUACUUGAGAUCUAGGAGUCCACCCGAAUUCAGUCUCCAAGAAGCCGUUCAUCCAGGAUCCACCAAAAUUCAAAUGAUAUGUGAAAAGCGUGUACUAGAUGUGGCCCCUAUCCAGCGUUUUGAUCUGUCCACUCAGGUGCUUUUGUCUAGGUGGUAACACAACAAGCUGCUUAUCUUAUAGAAACUUAUCAUACGUACAGUCCUAUGUUCGUUCUUCUUGCAUGUUAGAGAAAGAGCUUUUGCCCCUAUGUGAGUAAUCCUAUGGGAAUUAGCAACGUUGGCUGUACUUUCAAGCAGGCUGAAUCCGAUGCAAGUUUUUGGAGCAGUUGGGUUCCAGAACAAACGACUAGGUAUUCCCAAAGAAGUCAUUCCACUGGUGGCUAGCAUAAUAUCUUCAUGUCGGGACAACGAUCCAAGCAAGCAACCAUCAUUCUACCAGCUCUUGUCAUCGCUGAAGAAAUUACAGUGGUUACAUUGUUACAGAAAGCCUAUGACAAUUUGCGAGUGUUGUUUGUGCAAUAUACUGGUUUUAUGGCAGGUGCAUGUAUGAAUUCAGAUGGUAGUGGUCUCCUUCUUUACAGUUAUAAGAAUAAUAAAAAUAUUGAUAAUGGUCUUUCCACUA
Molecule: long non-coding RNA, 5447 nt
Organism: Triticum dicoccoides
Lineage: Eukaryota; Viridiplantae; Streptophyta; Magnoliopsida; Poales; Poaceae
Exons: 6
Source: RefSeq, a predicted model, not a curated record